GACAGAAGCACAGCAGCCCGGCUUUCCUUGAGUGGCAGGAGCCCGGCAGCCCGUGCGGGUGGUGCGGCGAGUGCACGGAGUACGGGAAUAAAGGUGCAGCUCACAGGAGUGAGAGGAGGCGGCCCCUCAUCUCUCCCACCUCUUCACGCUGCUCAGCGAGAGAAAGGGAGGAGUGUAAAUGAGUGCACUCCAAAAAGCCAUCACCUGCUCCCUCCACCCUAAAAUCCCCACUAGCUUUACCAGACAGAGAUAUUCUACAACCCCAGCUCAAAUUUCUCCAACUCUGAUUAAUGAGAGAGACGGACAGACAGAAAGAGGGAGGGAAAGAGUGGAGCAGUUAAAUAUUUCAACAAUUACCAUGCUGUGAUUUUGUUUUUUCAUCUGUUUUGUGGUGUUGAGUAUGGACACAUUCAUCUGGAGCAAAAUGUACAUUUGUCAUGCCUAUAGAGGAAACUGAAUUGGACUGGAUGAGGCAUUGAGUUUGUGCGCACAGAGAGCCCAAGGGUGAGGUUGUGUAUUGAUGGGUGCCCCUCCCAGCUUCUCCCAGAUUCCCCCUCUAUUGUGACUUUGAGUGAAUGUAUCCUCUUGCUAAGGGCACUGGAAUGUGUCUUCUCAACUCAUGUGAUGGAUGGGGCCUUGUUUUGCACUCCUCCGCCCCUCCCUCCGAAUCCCUCUUUCUCUCUCUCAGCCUUUGACUCUUUCAUUGCAUCCUUUUAUUCAGCACCAAUAAAAGUCAGUGAUUCUUCAUCA
This is a long non-coding RNA of Mugil cephalus (flathead mullet), 750 nucleotides long. RefSeq lists it as uncharacterized. The record is from RefSeq and is a predicted model, not a curated record. The transcript has 2 exons. Lineage: Eukaryota; Metazoa; Chordata; Actinopteri; Mugiliformes; Mugilidae.